This 90-nucleotide transfer RNA is filed under the name Labilithrix sp. Its description in RNAcentral is "tRNA-Ser". It matches the Rfam family "tRNA". From Rfam's summary of the family: Transfer RNA (tRNA) molecules are approximately 80 nucleotides in length. Their secondary structure includes four short double-helical elements and three loops (D, anti-codon, and T loops). The record is from RNAcentral. RNAcentral also lists the same sequence under 1 other name. Lineage: Bacteria; Pseudomonadati; Myxococcota; Polyangiales; Labilitrichaceae.
GGAGAGCUGUCCGAGUGGCCGAAGGAGCCUGAUUCGAAAUCAGGUGGAGGUGCAAGCUUCCCAAGGGUUCGAAUCCCUUGCUCUCCGCCA